This 406-nucleotide ribosomal RNA is filed under the name uncultured bacterium. RNAcentral describes it as "partial 16S ribosomal RNA". It matches the Rfam family "Bacterial small subunit ribosomal RNA", at positions 361 to 774 of the family's 1533-position model. The record is from RNAcentral.
AUAUUGCGCAAUGGAGGAAACUCUGACGCAGCGACGCCGCGUGAGCGAUGAAGGUUUUAGGAGCGGUAAGCUCUGUCCUUGGGGUAGGAGGUCUUCGGACUUGACUGUACCCAAGAAGAAAGCCCCGUCUAACUACGUGCCAGCAGCCGCGGUAAUACGUAGGGGGCAAGCGUUGUCCGGAAUUAUUGGGCGUAAAGGGGGCGUAGGCGGCCUUGUAAGUCGGAUGUGAAAGCCCACGGCUUAACCGUGGGAUUGCAUUUGAAACUGGAAGACUUGAGUAUCGGAGAGGGUAGUGGAAUUCCCAGUGUAGCGGUGAAAUGCGUAGAUAUUGGGAGGAACACCAGUGGCGAAGGCGACUACCUGGACGAAAACUGACGCUGAGGCACGAAAGCUAGGGGAGCAAACA